Molecule: RNA transcript, 4194 nt
Organism: Ooceraea biroi (clonal raider ant)
Lineage: Eukaryota; Metazoa; Arthropoda; Insecta; Hymenoptera; Formicidae
Gene name: histone-lysine N-methyltransferase, H3 lysine-79 specific
Source: RefSeq, a predicted model, not a curated record
UUAGGCUAACAUGUGCUGCCUGGGAAAUUAUAAUACAAAAUAAAAAAGCAAGAUCUAAUCAAAUCCGGCGAGAUCUGAAAAGACAUCUGUAAAAUCUCUUAUUAAUUUAACCAGACCCGCAAUAUAAUGCAAUUCAAAGGCAUUUCUAUAACUGGUGCUGAGAGAAGGACAAAGAUGAUUGAAAUUCCAUUACUGAAUUUAUUAUUAGAUUUUUCCAUUACUGAAAAUUAUCAUUCAUUAUUUCAUCCAUUUCUAUUUUGUGCUCAAAAUUAAUAAAUACCAAGAUCUAACAAAUCGUUUGUUGAUUCACUAUCUCGUCAUGGUCUUUUGUAAGCCAUGUAAUAAUUCUCGAGAAUUGUCCCAGUUCACAGAUUCAUCGUGAUAACGGAAGCGCGCGCCUCCGCAGUGCGCAUCGACGCGAGUGUGAUCUUUGACCGCGAAAGUGGAGGUCAUUAUCCCUUAUCGUUACGGUCAAUAUUAUCGACCCUGAGGACACGGUGCAAGGCAGCGGAACUCGCUGCUCGCUCGCGCGCGAUAGUUCCUAUGGAAACGCGCGAUCGAAUCGCGACACCCGUUCGCCGUUGGUUUCUUCGCGUCAUAAGAGCAUAAGUACCGCGGUGCCAGGUGAACCCAGGGUACGCACACGGCUCCUACCGCAGUCUUGCAAAUAUUGACACGGCGAGAAGCCGUGGCCGACGACCCGCGAGCUGGAGCUAAGCUGGAGAACCGUUCCGGGAGAUUGUCCUCCGGAACUUCGUCGGAACCGGAAGUCCGCGAUUAUCGUCCGUAUUAUCCGAAUCUCGCGAUUGCACUUUUCUUCGUAGAACACGACUUCGCGUGAGUCGGCGAAAUGGUUGGCAAAUAAAACUGGGUCGUGGCCAAUGGGGAUGAUUUUCGAUCAGCGGAAAGGUACGGAAGAUAGCGCAAGAAAUUCUUGACGUGUGUUUUGAGGAAUCUUAACGAAUCUAGUUGAACAAAUAAAAAAACGCGAUUAUUUUACUUAAAUUGUUCGAAAACAAUUAAAACAUGCUGAAGCUUUUAUAGUUUUAGAUUGUUUCUUCUGUUGUUCAACUUUUUGAUAAUACUCUCAGAAACCAGUUGAGAGACGACUGAACGCGCUAAAGGCUUGUGUUACGUCUCUAAAAGCUUCAAAGGCCGAAAAAUGAUGAUAAUUUCUAGACAAACUUUUGUUCUUGCAUAGAAGCUUCUCCCAUAACAAAAUUUCUUAACACUAGAAUUUUGCAAAGUAAAAUAUUGUGGUACCGAAAAUAUGCGAAUGGCUUUGUAGCAACAAUUGGCGAAGAAAUGUCUCGAGUAACGACUUGAUGUGUCUGAUUUUCGCUCGAAGUAUUGGUGGUGGGAAUUCCCGCUGACGAUGUCCGACUAGGUAGGCUCAGUUGAGAAUUAUUGAGCAUUAUUAAGGGUUUAGUUUAGGAUCUCUCUUCGCCUUUCUUCGCCUUUAUCGUUGCUGUCGCGCGUGCUUUGUUACGGCUGCUCGUGAUAAUCGCGUCCGAGGAUGACCGGAAGGACGUCGCUCCUGGAACAGAAGAGGCUCCAGUGGGCAAGAGAAAGAGAAGAGAUGGCGCGUCUCAGCGUUAAUUGGGGAUCGCUAAAGCCGAAUAGCAAUUACGACCGCACCCAUAUUCGCACUUACUCAAAUGACGCCAGAUUGGGAGAAAUAAAAGACAGGCCCUCCGCACAACCGUUUCGUGCAGCCGGACAUUACGGAAGCACCGUCAGUCUGAAGAGCCUAACGACGGAGAGUUCCGGAAGUGGCGGUAGCAAUCUCAAAUGUUUCGACUAUAACGGCGGCAGUUUAAUGAAUCUCCGAGAUCAGGUGGACACCGCACAAAUGAGACGCAGAAGUCCCAGUUUGCCUCCAAUCUUUAGCAAGGACCAGCAGCAGUACUUCCAACUGGAACAACAGCGUGACUUCGGUGUAGAGGGCUCGCCUUACCAGCCGCAGAGGUCGCAAAAACUGGAACACCAUCGCCGCCGGUCCAACGACCAUCGCGAAAAUCAGAAGCAGCAUCAUCAUUACGGCUCGCCAGGCGAAGAGCGCGAGGGCGAGACUUCCGGUUAUGCCAGCGACUCGGUGGAUGCACCUCAGGCAGGACAAAGAGGUCUGAUUGACGGUAAAGUGGCUAGGAUAGAAAUGGCGGAGAAGACGUGGCAGAAUCCUUAUUGCACCACGCCGGAGAGUUCAUUGCCACCGUCGAGAAGACUUUCGCCUGGUAGAAUGGGUGAACUCAACAGGCCAAGGUGGGGCAGUGUCUGGGGUCAGGACGCAAGAGGCGAUCCGCCACCACCUUCUUGGUUAUCAAGAUUAGGACAAUCGAGCCAAGUUCUGGUGAUCAAUCAUGAUAGCGCCAGCAGUCCGGACAGUUCGACAACCGGUUCGACUGGCUCCGAUACCAACAAGAUAUCUUAUCUUCGCGGCCAGAAUAUCCCGGUGGACGCGGACAUCCUUCAGGAGCGAGAAGCAAGGCGACAGAAAGCUCUGGAGCUGCAAAAUGCCAUUAAACAGCAACUGGAGGAAAAAGACAGGCAGAGAAAAGAAGAGAAGGAACAACGGAUGAGAGAGGAAAGAUUGGAAGAUGAGCGAAUCAGACGAGAACAAGAAAAGGAAAGAGAAAGGUUCAAAGAAGAGCAACGGGCGCUACAGGAGAAGGAGGCGGCGAAGAUGAAGAAGGCGCAGGCAAUGCGCGAAGUACUGGAGGCCGCGGAGCGGCUAGCAAUGGAAGAACGAAAGAACCGGCGGAAACGGGAGGAACGCACUAACGAAGACACCGACGUAGUAACUCAGUCUUCUAACGAAUCCUCAAAAGCAAGCAGCAACAGCAAACAGGAGCAGAACUGUUCGCAGGAGCAAGGCACGAGUCCCACUGUCGAUUAUCCCAAAGAUAAGUUGCCCGGUUCGAAGAAUCCGAUGAACACUAAGGAGACCGAUGAUCGCCAAGAAAAUCAGAACAACGAGAAAAAAGAAGGCUACUCCUGGUCGAAUCACGUGGACAAGUUGGAAGGAGCCCCGCUAGACCUGAACCUGAAGCCUCUUCAGGUUCCCGUGAGCAAGGACGUGGCGAUCGUGCUGAGCGGCAGACUCGAAGACUCGGAGAUCUUGAGCAAGGCGAAUCUGCAGCUGGUGAACCUGGUGGUGACCCCGAGCCCGUGCAGGUUCGCCGGAAAUGCCGCGGACUAUCUGUCGCUGGGACUAAAUGCGAUUGGGAGAAAUGGAAGUGCCAGAAAUCCGCGGAGGUCUUCGCGGGACGCUUCCUCCUGUGUCGUGCAGAAUCGACUGCUGACACCGAGCAAGUACCGAACAUCGGCCGGCCGUGACUUCGGCACGCAAACGGACGUGGAGUCCGAUUUUCAGGACAGGGAUCAUCAGUCCAUCAGGGAGCAAGAAAUCACGAAGGACCGGAAGGAAACGACGAACGCCAACCGAAGAAACAUUGAAAAGUCUACCAAUGUGAGUCCAGGUGAAGAAAUAUCCAUGAAGACGCUCCCGCGAUCCAAGUCGCAGCCCAGAACCACGCUCGACAGCAGACCACGAUGGAAUGCUAACCGCCCAGGUACACGAUAUCGGACGCAAAGUGAAAAGGAUCCGCACUAUCAGAGACGAUUGCGAUUAAGAAGGCGACAAGUCGAAUCCAGUGACGAAGGAUCUAGAUCACCAUCUCCCGAUCGGCGAAAAUCGAAUAAUGGAAAGUCCAAGAAUCGAAAUACGAACAGGCGCAAAGCGAAACUCGAGAAUUACGACGCCGAUCUAUCGAUGGACAGUUUAAAUUCCAUCGUUCCUCUGCGAAUUGAUAAGAAUGGGAAAAUCAAUAUCGAGGAGCGUGCCGAGAAAGUCUUAUUGAAGAACGCGUGCAACGAUACAAUUCACGCAGAACGACUGGAUAACGAUAACUCCAAUGUCUGGUGCGGGCAAGAGAUCUUGUCCAAGUUGUCGUCGUUGAGAAGCGGACUUCUAAUGAAGCAGAUCGAGUGGGACUCCGAGCGAUGCCUGGUCUCACCCGCUGCGUCCGAAAUCUUCUGAGCUGCCAAAAGAAUUUCCUUGUCGUCAGAACAUCCUUUUAUUUUUCUUUUCGUUUGCGUAGAAAAUUUAGAUAAUGGCGUUCCAGCUGGACGAUCUGUUAAAGGAUGACAAGAAGGACGCAAAUCUCAUACCCGAUUUGAGCAAGGCAACCUGCA